RNAcentral lists this non-coding RNA (380 nucleotides) under Ipomoea nil (Japanese morning glory). RNAcentral describes it as "Eukaryotic large subunit ribosomal RNA". It matches the Rfam family "Eukaryotic large subunit ribosomal RNA", at positions 3004 to 3401 of the family's 3401-position model. The record is from Rfam by way of RNAcentral. Lineage: Eukaryota; Viridiplantae; Streptophyta; Magnoliopsida; Solanales; Convolvulaceae.
ACAGUGUCGCAUCGUAAUUCCCCUCGUCGCGAGGACCGUUGAUUCGCCAAUUGGUCCUCGCGCUUGGUUGAAAAGCCAGUGGCGCGAAGCUGUGCGUUGGAUUAUGACUGAACCUCUCCGUCAGAAUCCGGGCUCGCCGACGCAUGCGCUCGUCGCCCGUUUGCCGACCCGCAGUAGGGGCCAUUUGGCCCCCAAGGGCACGUGUCGUUGGCUAAGCCGUCGUGGCGGAAGGGUCACGGUGGCCGCCUUGAAUUACAAUUCCGAUCGAGCGCGAGCGAAUCCUUUGCAGACGACUUAAAUACGCGACGGGGGGUAUUGUAAGGGGUAGAGUGGCCUUGCUGCCACGAUCCUCUGAGAUUCAGCCCUUUGUCGCUCCGUCC